GUCCUUUUGUUUUAUAUUUAAGGUUUAACCUGCCCACUGAAUAAUUUAAAUGGCCGCAGUAUUUUAACUGUGCAAAGGUAGCAUAAUCAUUAGUUUUUUAAUUAAAAGCUUGUAUGAAAGGUUGGACGAGGUAAAAACUGUCUUUAUUUAAUUAAUUAUAAAAUUUAAUUUUUAAGUUAAAAAGCUUAAAUUUUUUUAAAAGACGAGAAGACCCUAUAGAUCUUUAUAUUUAUUAUUUUAUUUUUAAUUAAGAUUUAUUUAAAUUUUAUUUUAUUAAAUAUUUUAUUGGGGUAAUAAGAAGAUUUAUAAAAUUCUUUUAUAUAUUAUUCAUUGAUUAAUGUUUUGAUGAUCCAAUUUUAUUGAUUAUAAGAUUAAGUUACCUUAGGGAUAACAGCGUAAUUUUUUUAGAGAGUUCAUAUCGAUAAGAAAGUUUGCGACCUCGAUGUUGGAUUAAAGAUUAAUUUAGGUGUAGAAGUUUAAAUUUUUGGUCUGUUCGACCAUUAAAUCUUUACAUGAUCUGAGUUCAGACCGGUGUAAGCCAGGUCGGUUUCUAUCUUUAAUAAUAUAAUAUAUUUUAGUACGAAAGGACCAAAUAUAUAAUAUAUAAAUAUUUUUUAAUUUUUGAAUAUUAUUAAUUAUUUUGGCAGAUUAGUGCAAUGAAUUUAGAAUUCAUAUAUGUAAGUAUUUACAAAUAAUACUUGUUUUAUAUAGAUGUAAU
Molecule: ribosomal RNA, 718 nt
Filed under: Mecodema longicolle
Lineage: Eukaryota; Metazoa; Arthropoda; Insecta; Coleoptera; Carabidae
Description: partial 16S ribosomal RNA
Rfam family: Bacterial large subunit ribosomal RNA (bases 387-545)
Source: RNAcentral